This is a non-coding RNA of Globicephala melas (long-finned pilot whale), 1527 nucleotides long. Lineage: Eukaryota; Metazoa; Chordata; Mammalia; Artiodactyla; Delphinidae. The record is from RefSeq and is a predicted model, not a curated record.
CUCUUGUCUGUCACGUGAGGGGCGGUUCGCUGACCGGCGGUUCGCUGACGGGCUUUUUGCCACACCCAGUUCCACUUCUAGUGGAAGUUUGAGCAGCUGGGAAAGAAGAAAGGAGGAAAGAAAAGGGAUGGAAAUGAAAGCAUUUUCCAGCUUAAUGCCUGCCUACCACAUACCUGAAGCUGUGUAACUCUGCUCCAGCAAAAGUACUAUAUCUGGCAUAGCUGCUGCAAGUACAACUACUACUUCGUUGAAUUUGUGAUACUCUACUGUCACCCCCCAGAAUCCAUCUGGUUUUUGCAAGAUCCAGACUGGUCAAUUAAAUGGAGAUACACUGGGGACUAGUAUCCCUGCAUUCUUCAGGUUUUUAAAGUGGUUGGUAUUCCUGUUCGAUUUCACGUAGGAAGCCACUUCCAGAGCCACUUCCAGAGCCUGAUCCUGAAAAGUCCUCAGAAAGAGGGAAGACAUCAUUCAAGUUCCUGGAUUUCAUCAUUCUGAAGCAUGACAGAAAAGUGGAAAAGAAACAUUAAACUUUGAGACAUGAAAAGAUAAUCAUAAUAAAUUUUUUAAGAUAUGAAAGUAAAUGUAGCCACUCCGUUGCUCAAAUUUUAAGUUAAAAGUUUCCCAGUUAUUUAAUGUUUUAAAACAAAAAAUAAGUCAGACCUUUCCACAUAUUUACAAUACUUACUGUAUCUAACUCGUUGCCUUUAUCAGCUUCACAUCUACUCAUUGCAGAUGCAUAUAAAAAUGCUAAUUUUCUUAUCACUAACAUAGCAAUCCUAUAUUUAGAAUAUACUUAACGGGUCAUUUAUUUUUUACAGAAAAGAUCCCAUUUUUACACUUUCUCCCACUGAAGAAAGGACACACAAGUAAAUUAGACUAGAUGUAUAUUUUUCCUAUUUUAAAAAUUCUGCAAAAUCUCUAAUAACUUCACAGGGCUUCAACAAAGCUCACGCUUAAGAAAUUCUUUGCAACAAGUCAAGCAUUAUAUUUGCCAGCAUGUUAACAUUCAAUCUCCUCCCCGCAAAUAAGUGCAUUCAUUCAACUGGGUUCAGUGGGGUAGUUUGAAAUCCACUCAGCACCAAAGGACCAGAGCAAUGAUGCCACCCAUCAGUGGCAGAAUAAGGCAACAAAGCAUCAGAGACAAAAGUUGAGUUUCACAGCCUAUGGGUCAUUUUCUACAUGAAAAUAAUAAACCACAGGCCAUACAACAGAUUAGAGUUUCCUUCAUGCCUACAUUCGAUAAAUAUUGAAUAUCUGAUCCCUGUUCUGAGGGCCUGGGAUAGAAUGGGGACUGACAGAUGAGGUCCCUGCUCAGAGGUUUAUAACUUUGGCGGGGAGACAGACAAUAAAAAGUGAAUAAGCAAAUCAGGAAAAUAUUAGGUGGGGCUAAAUGUUAUGCAGAGAAACAAAGUGGAAUAAUGUAAUAGAGGGUGACCUGCUGGAUAGUUGGUCAGCUGGUUAGGAAAAGGAAUCAGAGCUGGAAACAGAUUUGGUAGUUUCUCCCCCUCCCUCUCCCUCUCCCUCUCC